GGGAGAUGGAAGUUGGAUCAUUCUGGUUUUCGCUGUUGUCUUGUUUUUUAUUAUGUACAUAUGGAACUAUGGGAGCAAGCUGAAGUAUGAAACUGAAGUCAAGCAAAAGAUGUCUAUGGAUUUGCUACGUGAACUAGGCCCAAACCUUGGAACAAUCAGAGCACCUGGAAUUGGCUUGCUUUAUAAUGAACUGGCAAAGGGCAUACCAGCUAUAUUUGGACAUUUUCU
This 228-nucleotide unclassified non-coding RNA is filed under the name Hevea brasiliensis (rubber tree). The record is from RNAcentral. Lineage: Eukaryota; Viridiplantae; Streptophyta; Magnoliopsida; Malpighiales; Euphorbiaceae.